AUUCCAGCUCCAAUAGCGUAUAUUAAAGUUGUUGCAGUUAAAAAGCUCGUAGUUGGAUACCUGGUGGGAGUGACCGGUCUAGUGUCGUCUCUUGCCAUCCUUGAGGAGAGCGUCUCUGGCAUUAAGUUGUCGGAGUCGGGACCCUCAUCCUUUACUGUGAAAAAAUUAGAGUGUUUAAAGCAGGCUUAGGCCGUUGAAUACAUUAGCAUGGAAUAAUAAGAUAGGACUUUGGUGGUCUAUUUUGUUGGUUUGCACACCAAGGUAAUGAUUAAUAGGGACAGUUGGGGGUAUCCGUAUUUCGUAGUCAGAGGUGAAAUUCUUGGAUUUACGAAAGACGAACUACUGCGAAAGCAUUUACCAAGGAUGUUUUCAUUG
Molecule: ribosomal RNA, 375 nt
Filed under: Stramenopiles sp.
Lineage: Eukaryota
Description: partial small subunit ribosomal RNA
Rfam family: Eukaryotic small subunit ribosomal RNA
Source: RNAcentral